Non-coding RNA from Salvia hispanica, 448 nucleotides. The record is from RefSeq and is a predicted model, not a curated record. Lineage: Eukaryota; Viridiplantae; Streptophyta; Magnoliopsida; Lamiales; Lamiaceae.
UAUGCCGAAAAGCAAACGUUUCAUAUUUAUUGAUAUUUAUUGGGACAGAGGGAGUACAAAGUAAUUUCUUUUCAAUCACAUGAAUAGAACCUCCAUAUUUUGAUUCCAUAAUAUAAAUUCUUGAAAUCACAGUUGAGAAGAAAUAGCUAGAGUAAGAGAGCCGAGAGUCCUUCAAAUUGUUUUCCUGCGACUCUUUGCAACACAGAUUGAGCGGCGAUGGACGUGGAGGAUGUUGAGCAGAGUUGUUGGAAAAUUAUAUCUUGUUUGGUUGUUGGAUUUGUCGGGUCUUCAUACUCGGCAAUUUUCCAUGUUUUGACGUUUCCGCUAAAAUCCUAAAUUUCCUUUGGACUGUUUUAUCAUUGGGUCUUAUUAUUCGAAGUUAGUUUUGUGGAGACAGUAUUCGAGUUUGUUUUAAGUUUCUUAGUUAAUCUUUUGUUUUGGUCGUGUA